GGAGGGGUGCGAGAGUGGUUGAAUCGGGCGGUCUCGAAAACCGUUGUGCCGGUAACCCCGGUACCGUGGGUUCGAAUCCCACCCCCUCCG
RNAcentral lists this transfer RNA (90 nucleotides) under Solirubrobacteraceae bacterium. RNAcentral describes it as "tRNA-Ser". It matches the Rfam family "tRNA". Rfam says of the family: Transfer RNA (tRNA) molecules are approximately 80 nucleotides in length. Their secondary structure includes four short double-helical elements and three loops (D, anti-codon, and T loops). Lineage: Bacteria; Bacillati; Actinomycetota; Thermoleophilia; Solirubrobacterales; Solirubrobacteraceae. The record is from RNAcentral. RNAcentral also lists the same sequence under 2 other names.